This 544-nucleotide long non-coding RNA is filed under the name Mus musculus (house mouse). RNAcentral describes it as "predicted gene 13266, transcript variant 7 (Gm13266)". The record is from RNAcentral. Lineage: Eukaryota; Metazoa; Chordata; Mammalia; Rodentia; Muridae.
AGUCACAAUUCCUCUGAGACCCUGAGAUCCUGGUGUGACCAAGCUUCUGGGAUGCUGGGAUCCUGGAAUCCUAAGAUCCUGGGCAUGUUAAAGCGCCUGGAAAUGGUACCUCCUCUGGAGACCAAGGGGCUGUCUGCUGUGUUCAAAAUCAAGCUGCAUCUCUAACAGAUGAGUGUUGAUCUCUGUUACACUAAAGUGUAUGUGUGCACAUGAAUGCAGGCACUCAUGGGGACCAAAAGAGGAAUACUUCGUGCCAGCAGAAGAAUCCAGCCUCUGUGACAACCAUAGAAAUGUGCUGUUCUUUAAUCGCUGGCUGACUCAGUUGUGGUGAACACCAGAGGAACAAGCUUUUUGGUUUAAGUUCUUUCUGUGUCUUUGGGUGGGCCAUCUUGUGUGUGGGGGCAAAUGGCAACAUGCAGUCAGGGUGGCUGUACAGGUGGCCCUUGGAGAAAGGACAGCUGUAAAUGCCCCCACCCCCACCCCGUUUGCAGAAAGCCAAGUUACUUCUUUCAUUUGGAGAGAAUGUAGCAAUUACUUGAAAUUA